Molecule: long non-coding RNA, 1090 nt
Organism: Falco peregrinus (peregrine falcon)
Lineage: Eukaryota; Metazoa; Chordata; Aves; Falconiformes; Falconidae
Exons: 3
Source: RefSeq, a predicted model, not a curated record
UGCAGGCAGGCAGGUAGAGCAGAACCUUUGCUAUGUGGAAGAGGUCUUAUACACAGUGUAAAGCCAUCAAGGACUCUAAAUUUAUGAGCAAUUCAGGUCUUCACAUCAUUUAACACUAAGGCCCCACGUGAGCAUGCUUGGUUAUAUGACAUAAGAUCAUCCACAGACCCACAAAGGAGCUCAGAGAGACAAUGUGGGGAAACAGAGGAACCCAGGCUGGGAAGAAGAAAAUCGAUUCCAGAGUCCCAAACAAGGAAUUAAUUUGUCAUGACUUCAGUAAGCACUAUUAUGAAGUUUUGUUCACCAGAUCGAAGUUGUGGUGCCUUAGAACACUCUUAGAAAAGACAAAGGGGAAGUGGUGAGGAAUGUUUUCUCUGUGGUAUGCCGCAUCUGUCUCUUUUGCAUAUUUAUGUUUGCUUGUAUGCAUGGGUAAUGAUGGCAGAACAACUUCUUUGGAAUUUGUUCAGGUGUGUGGACAAGUUGUUGCUACGUUAAGCUUUCAACUGCUUGCUUGUUUUAACCUUUCAGAUGUGAAGCUUGUGCACAUAAUGUCAUGUUUUAAUUGAUAUGGCAAGUUAGUGGAAGUAUUUUGUUUAGUUGUUUGGUUUUUUUUAAUUUACCUUUUCAGUAGAAUAACAGUCUUUCUGAUCAACCAAUACAGUUUGAGGAGUGCAAAAAUUUUUUGAAAAAUUAAUCUCAGAUCAGUUAAAGAAAAUUAUAAAAAAAGUUGAUGGCUGAAUAAACAAAAGAAAAUCAGAAAUAAUUCUGAGUCAUGUGUUGUGUUCUUACUUAGUAACAGGUUCUCCCCACACAGACUUCAGUUGAAUUUCAUUGCCUUCAGUGGUGUCUGAUUAACAAAUUUUGGGAAGGGUACAGACAAGAGCAUAGGACUUGGGAAAACAAGGUAGAUAAAGUAAAUGAUGCAGACCUCUACCAUCUGUAAAGUUUUCCUACAGUCUGUCUACAUAGUAACACAAAUGCUUGUUUGUCCAAAGUCUGAUUGCUUCUUUACUACUUUCCUGAAAUGUGGCUUAUUUUGCUUCAUGAUAAUGUGCGACUGAGUUGUUAUUGUAAGAUUUUUAUGUUUCUG